RNAcentral lists this ribosomal RNA (254 nucleotides) under uncultured bacterium. Its description in RNAcentral is "partial 16S ribosomal RNA". It matches the Rfam family "Bacterial small subunit ribosomal RNA", at positions 524 to 776 of the family's 1533-position model. The record is from RNAcentral.
UACGGAGGGGGCGAGCGUUGUCCGGAUUUAUUGGGCGUAAAGAGCUCGUAGGCGGUUCCGUAAGUCAGAUGUGAAAACUCAGGGCUCAACCCGGAGACGCCAUCUGAUACUGCGGUGACUGGAGUCUGGUAGGGGAACACGGAAUUCCUGGUGUAGCGGUGAAGUGCGCAGAUAUCAGGAGGAACACCGAUGGCGAAGGCAGUGUUCUGGGCCAGUACUGACGCUGAGGAGCGAAAGCGUGGGGAGCAAACAGG